This 497-nucleotide ribosomal RNA is filed under the name uncultured bacterium. Its description in RNAcentral is "partial 16S ribosomal RNA". It matches the Rfam family "Bacterial small subunit ribosomal RNA", at positions 28 to 507 of the family's 1533-position model. The record is from RNAcentral.
GAUGAACGCUGGCGGCGCGCCUAAUACAUGCAAGUAGAACGCUGAAGGAAGGAGCUUGCUCUUUCCGGAUGAGUUGCGAACGGGUGAGUAACGCGUAGGUAACCUGCCUGGUAGCGGGGGAUAACUAUUGGAAACGAUAGCUAAUACCGCAUAACAGUAGAUGUUGCAUGAUAUCUACUUAAAAGGUGCAAUUGCACCACUACCAGAUGGACCUGCGUUGUAUUAGCUAGUUGGUGAGGUAACGGCUCACCAAGGCGACGAUACAUAGCCGACCUGAGAGGGUGAUCGGCCACACUGGGACUGAGACACGGCCCAGACUCCUACGGGAGGCAGCAGUAGGGAAUCUUCGGCAAUGGACGGAAGUCUGACCGAGCAACGCCGCGUGAGUGAAGAAGGUUUUCGGAUCGUAAAGCUCUGUUGUAAGAGAAGAACGAGUGUGAGAGUGGAAAGUUCACACUGUGACGGUAUCUUACCAGAAAGGGACGGCUAACUACGUG